UACGGGGGGAGCAAGCGUUGUUCGGAUUUACUGGGCGUAAAGGGCGCGUAGGCGGUCAGCACAAGUCAGUUGUGAAAUCUUCGGGCUUAACUCGGAAAGGUCAACUGAUACUGUGCGACUAGAGUGCGGAAGGGGCAACUGGAAUUCUCGGUGUAGCGGUGAAAUGCGUAGAUAUCGAGAGGAACACCUGCGGCGAAGGCGGGUUGCUGGGCCGACACUGACGCUGAUGCGCGAAAGCCAGGGGAGCGAACGGG
This 254-nucleotide ribosomal RNA is filed under the name uncultured bacterium. RNAcentral's name for it is "partial 16S ribosomal RNA". It matches the Rfam family "Bacterial small subunit ribosomal RNA", at positions 524 to 776 of the family's 1533-position model. The record is from RNAcentral.